UACCGGCUGCUCAAGUGAUAGCCGGAAUUAUUGGGCGUAAAGGGUGCGUAGGCGGCACAUUAAGUCUAAGGUUAAAGUUCGAGGCUCAACUUCGGAUUGCCUUAGAAACUGGUGAGCUAGAGUGCAGGAGAGGGCAAUGGAAUUCCAUGUGUAGCGGUAAAAUGCGUAGAUAUAUGGAGGAACACCAGUGGCGAAGGCGGUUGCCUGGCCUGUAACUGACGCUGAGGCACGAAAGCGUGGGGAGCAAAUA
RNAcentral lists this ribosomal RNA (250 nucleotides) under uncultured bacterium. RNAcentral's name for it is "partial 16S ribosomal RNA". It matches the Rfam family "Bacterial small subunit ribosomal RNA", at positions 524 to 774 of the family's 1533-position model. The record is from RNAcentral.